CUUUCAACUUCUAUUCUAACAAGAAGCAUUAGAAAACUAUUAUGGGAUUGACAACUAUCCCUUGAAGAGUGGGAGUGAAGAAGAUGGGAUAGCCCUGUAAAUAUGCAAUAGCUGGCAUCACGUGCAGGUCUAACCUUGAUUGGUAGCCUACUCAUCCCCCUGAAGAGGCGAUGUGCACAGGGCUUGGAGGCUCUUUGAGCCAAGAACGUACUGUGACUCAGACAUCAACUUUGGCUAUGAACCUUCUGGGGGAGACACACCCUUGACUCUCUAGCCAUGACCUCAUCAGGCCUCUAAAGAAGAAGAUGCCAUGCAGGGAGGAAACUUGGCUUUCUGUUUUUGUUUUUGUUUUUUUCCCAUCCUGUCAGUCUCAUCGUUGGCUGAAGCAACACCUGCUGGAGAGAUGCUGUGUACUCCUGUCACAAUGAAGCCACAACGAUGGACUGCAUCUUUUUACAAGCCCAAUCAAACCUCUCCUCUCCUGGGUUACUUCCUGUCAGGUAACUGAUCACAAGAAGAAGAAAAACAACCAGUACAUCCAGACCAGGGCAGACAAGAGUUGCCGUAGCAAUCCCUGGGGUGUUCACCUGGUAAUAAAGGAAUCUCCACCAGCUACAGUUCACACAGGCUUAGUCAGCUCCCAAGUCCUAACUAGUGCUGGAUCCCCGAUUCUGCGGAGUAUCCCAAGCUCUCAGGUUCCACCCUCAUUCUUCUUCUGUCUACUUCCUUGUUCCAUGGGCCGUGCUUGGAACUAUUGUAGCUAUGGCCUUUGUCCUUCCUGAAAAUGCUGUGGCUCGAUGAGCUACCUGUUCCCUGAACUGUGGAAACAUUUCUGACCCUUGCUGUCUCUGUGGUAACCCCAUUGGGUUUUUCUAUCCCUACCAAAUGGUAGCAUUUCAAGAAACAUUAAAUAUUAGCCCUUUUGUCAAAAGCUGCAAAACUACCACAAGGGACACAAAUGUGUUUAUCUUCCCCACCUUGUGAAACCUUGAUGCAAACGUUUAGCUCCCCAACACCCACUAGGUAAGACUUGUUUACAGAAGGCCCAGUAGUAUUCCCAAACUUAAAUGCCCCCUCUUGCUUCCCUUCAUUUCCUUCUCUUUUAAAAUGAGGCAAUGGAGGAAGACGGUGAGGUCAGACCCAGCCAAUGCGGAAAGGACACAUCAUCCGAGUGACAAUAAAAACCAAACUAAUGGCUUGUCCUCACGUGCUUGCUCUUCCACUGUUGUGAGUAGCACAUGCCUCUCCUCACAGGUACACUUUUGCCUGGUCCAGACACUUUAAUGGGAGCAGCAUUUUCUUCCUCUGUGACCCUGAACUUAGUGCUAACAACAUCAACGAUUGCUUUCUUAAAGACAGAACCGGGGAAAGGCUGCUUGAGUAGAGACAUCUCAAAUGCAGUUUCCAUUGGGUUAGGUACAUGGCUUGUGUCUCACUUCUAUCUUAGUUGGUAUUACAUCUUAGACUCUGAUCAUCAAGCAUAAGGAGAGAAGGAUUAAAAUUAAACACGUGGAGGGCUGGAGUGGUGGCUCAGUCUUGAGUGUUUGCUGGACCUCAGUUCUGUUCCCAGCAUCCAUGUCAGGUAUCCCAUAAUCACUUGUAACUCCAUUCAUCUCCAGAGAUUCUGAUGCCCUUUUCUGGCUUCCACAAGUAUCUCCAAGCACAUGGCAAACUCUCUCUCUCAUAAUAAUAAUAAUAAUAAUAAUAAUAAUAAUAGGACCAGAGAGAUAGAUCAGUGAUAAAAAUGCAUAUUUUGCUCUUGCAAAAGACCCAAGUUCAAUUCCCAGCACUCAACUCUUUCUCCAGGGGAAUCCCACACUACUGGCUUUCAAAGGUGCUUUCUCCUACAUGCAUAAAUCUAUACAGGUUCACAUGCUCACAUUUAAAAACUCAAAAAAAAAACAUUUUAGAAGAUUGUACAUGUAGUCUUAUAAACAAUUAAUACGAUGAACUUGAGCCUGAAAGAACCUCAAGUAAGAAAAAACCCAAACCAAACACAGCUUAGACUCUUGUGUGGCAACUUUGGAAAGAAUUGGGGCUGAUCAGAGUAUAGCAAUGUGAAUGAAAUGUUCCUGAAAGAAGCUGUGUCUUCACAGGCUGAUUUAGGACUUCAGUGGUGUGUAAAAGUUGAACCGUUGCAGGCUCAGAGCAGGAUUAUCUGGGUCCAUCUUUAGCCCCUUUAACAAUUACCUAGUUCCCACCUCUGUAUGCAAUGUUACAUUCCUGUGACUGUCAGGUAAGUCCUUGGAAUGUAUAAGUGGACCCUCACAUCCACCAACAUAAAUGCUAAGAGUGUCGUCAGAGGGCAUCAGAUGCCUAAAGUAGAAACCUCCCCACUCUGCUCUAACCAGUGAAUCUAAAAAGUGUCCUGACUGAUGGCUUUCUUCACUGUGUCUCUAUAAAGUUUCAUGAAACCGUUACCAUGUUGGACUGGAAUUUGGGGUACCCUAAAGCUGUUCCAGGCCAUGGUCACUCAUAUUUGACUCUGGAAUAAAUGG
Molecule: long non-coding RNA, 2498 nt
Organism: Mesocricetus auratus (golden hamster)
Lineage: Eukaryota; Metazoa; Chordata; Mammalia; Rodentia; Cricetidae
Exons: 3
Source: RefSeq, a predicted model, not a curated record